AUGAAAGAACUGAAAAGAAGGAAGUUCUUCACAUGCAUCAAUGAACUGUUAGAAGGGGCAAGACUCAUCUCUCAAGGCCUACUUCCAUAUGUACAGUCAGAGUAUGCAGUCACAACCAGCUGUGAAAUCCCAUUUGAGUGGAGGUUUGCAAGUGAAAUUCACAUUUCCUAUCUCUUUUGAGUGAGGCUUUGAAGCAGAAUGUAGCUCCCAAAGAAAGAUAUUUUCCAUUUUAUCAUGGCUGAAAAACCAAAUGUAAAUGCUGGUGCUUUAUAGUGCUGAGACUGCUGCAGGAGAACAUUGGUGGGGAAGUUUGCCUGUGAAUUUUCAGAAAGGCUGAAGAUAUGCAGUGCUGGUAAACCUGAGCCAUCACCUGACUCCUCAUUUCAGAAAAGCGUUCCAAGUUUAUCAUCAUUCCCCAUGAAGGUAAUUGAUUAAUUAUAAAAUCAGAUGCUUAGAAUGGUUAUUUGAGGCCUUAUAAAAUUGGAAUAAAAUCAAAUAGGAAAGAUUCA
This 509-nucleotide long non-coding RNA is filed under the name Phasianus colchicus (ring-necked pheasant). RNAcentral's name for it is "lncRNA (ENSPCLG00000010054.1)". Lineage: Eukaryota; Metazoa; Chordata; Aves; Galliformes; Phasianidae. The record is from RNAcentral.